Molecule: ribosomal RNA, 662 nt
Filed under: uncultured bacterium
Lineage: Bacteria
Description: bacterial SSU rRNA
Rfam family: Bacterial small subunit ribosomal RNA
Source: RNAcentral
GGUAGUNCACGCCCUAAACGAUGUCGAUUAGCUGUUGGGCAGCAUGACUGCUUAGUAGCGAAGCUAACGCGUGAAAUCGACCGCCUGGGGAGUACGGACGCAAGAUUAAAACUCAAAGGAAUUGACGGGGACCCGCACAAGCGGUGGAUGAUGUGGAUUAAUUCGAUGCAACGCGAAGAACCUUACCUGGUCUUGACAUGUACGGAACCCUCCAGCGACGGAGGGGUGCCUUCGGGAGCCGUAACACAGGUGCUGCAUGGCUGUCGUCAGCUCGUGUCGUGAGACGUUGGGUUAAGUCCCGCAACGAGCGCAACCCUUGUCAUUAGUUGCCAUCAUUAAGUUGGGCACUNUAAUGAGACUGCCGGUGACAAGCCGGAGGAAGGUGGGGAUGACGUCAAGUCCUCAUGGCCCUUAUGACCAGGGCUUCACACGUCAUACAAUGGUCGGUACAGAGGGUAGCCAAGCCGCGAGGUGGAGCCAAUCUCACAAAACCGAUNGUAGUCCGGAUUGCACUCUGCAACUCGAGUGCAUGAAGUCGGAAUCGCUAGUAAUCGCAGGUCAGCAUANUGCGGUGAAUACGUUCCCGGGUNUUGUACACACCGCCCGUCACACCAUGGGAGUGGGGGAUACCAGAAGUAGGUAGGGUAACCGCAAGGAGCCCG